GAUGAACGCUGGCAGCGCGCCUUAUACAUGCAAGUCGAACGAUCCGAUUAUAUCGGAGAGUGGCGAACGGGUGAGUAACACGUUGGUAUCUACCCCAAAGUAGAGAAUAAUCCCGAGAAAUCGGGGCUAAUACUCUAUGUGUUCGAAAGAACAAAGACUUCGGUCGCUUUGGGAAAAACCUGCGGCCUAUCAGCUUGUUGGUAAGGUAACGGCUUACCAAGGCUUUGACGGGUAGCUGGUCUGAGAAGAUGACCAGCCACAAUGGGACUGUAGACACGGCCCAUACUCCUACGGGAGGCAGCAAUAGGGAAUCUUCGGCAAUGCCCGAAAGGGUGACCGAGCGACGCCGCGUAAAGGAAGAAGAUCCUUGGAUUGUAAACUUUUUUUCUCCUAGACAAAGUUCCGAUUGUAUAGGAGGAAUAAGGGGUUUCUAAACUCGUGCCAGCAGAAGCGGUAGUACGAGUACCCCAAGCGUUAUCCGGAAUCAUUGGGCGUAGAGCGUUGUAUAGGUGGUUUAAAAAGUCCAAUAUUAAAUUUUUAGGCUCAACCUAAAAUCUGUCUUGGAAACUUUUAGACUUGAAUAAAAUCGACGCGAGUGGAACUUCCAGAGUAGGGGUUACAUCCGUUGAUACUGGAAGGAACGCCGAAGGCGAAAGCAACUCGCGAGAUUUUAUUGACACCGCGUACACGAAAGCGUGGGGAGCGAAAAGUAUUAGAUACACUUGUAGUCCACGCCGUAAACUAUGGAUACUAGCAAUUUGAAGUCUUCGACCCUUCAAGUUGCGAAGCUAACGCGUUAAGUAUCUCGCCUGGGAAGUACGGCCGCAAGGCUAAAACUCAAAGGAAUAGACGG
Molecule: ribosomal RNA, 853 nt
Filed under: uncultured bacterium
Lineage: Bacteria
Description: bacterial SSU rRNA
Rfam family: Bacterial small subunit ribosomal RNA
Source: RNAcentral